Molecule: unclassified non-coding RNA, 222 nt
Filed under: uncultured Craterellus
Lineage: Eukaryota; Fungi; Basidiomycota; Agaricomycetes; Cantharellales; Hydnaceae
Description: sequence contains ITS2
Source: RNAcentral
GAGUCUCUCAAAAGGGGUUUAUCACUCCUUUGGGGUUUUGGGUCUUGCUGUGAAAUUCAUCUCGGCUUACCUUGAAAGCAUUAGCAAGCAUCUCAAGUCUUUUGUGAUGAGGGCGUUCUAAUUGGUCUUGACUGGUCUGUGUAGCCAGUGUAAAAGACGUCUAAACAUCAUAAGAAGCGAUGCUAGCUUCCAAUCAUCCCAAUAAUGGCUCAAUGCCUCCUU